ACACAUGCAAGUCGAACGGGAAUUAUUUUAUUGAAACUUCGGUCGAUUUAAUUUAAUUCUAGUGGCGGACGGGUGAGUAACGCGUGGGUAACCUACCUUAUACAGGGGGAUAACAGUCAGAAAUGACUGCUAAUACCGCAUAAGCGCACAGGACCGCAUGGUCCGGUGUGAAAAACUCCGGUGGUAUAAGAUGGACCCGCGUUGGAUUAGCUAGUUGGUGAGGUAACGGCCCACCAAGGCGACGAUCCAUAGCCGGCCUGAGAGGGUGAACGGCCACAUUGGGACUGAGACACGGCCCAGACUCCUACGGGAGGCAGCAGUGGGGAAUAUUGCACAAUGGGGGAAACCCUGAUGCAGCGACGCCGCGUGAAGGAAGAAGUAUCUCGGUAUGUAAACUUCUAUCAGCAGGGAAGAAAAUGACGGUACCUGACUAAGAAGCCCCGGCUAACUACGUGCCAGCAGCCGCGGUAAUACGUAGGGGGCAAGCGUUAUCCGGAUUUACUGGGUGUAAAGGGAGCGUAGACGGUGUGGCAAGUCUGAUGUGAAAGGCAUGGGCUCAACCUGUGGACUGCAUUGGAAACUGUCAUACUUGAGUGCCGGAGGGGUAAGCGGAAUUCCUAGUGUAGCGGUGAAAUGCGUAGAUAUUAGGAGGAACACCAGUGGCGAAGGCGGCUUACUGGACGGUAACUGACGUUG
RNAcentral lists this ribosomal RNA (696 nucleotides) under uncultured Lachnospiraceae bacterium. RNAcentral's name for it is "bacterial SSU rRNA". It matches the Rfam family "Bacterial small subunit ribosomal RNA", at positions 51 to 748 of the family's 1533-position model. Lineage: Bacteria; Bacillati; Bacillota; Clostridia; Lachnospirales; Lachnospiraceae. The record is from RNAcentral.